Molecule: ribosomal RNA, 588 nt
Filed under: uncultured bacterium
Lineage: Bacteria
Description: bacterial SSU rRNA
Rfam family: Bacterial small subunit ribosomal RNA
Source: RNAcentral
CCUACGGGAGGCAGCAGUAGGGAAUCUUCCGCAAUGGACGAAAGUCUGACGGAGCAACGCCGCGUGAACGAUGAAGGCCUUCGGGUCGUAAAGUUCUGUUGUUAGGGAAGAACAAGUGCUAGUUGAAUAAGCUGGCACCUUGACGGUACCUAACCAGAAAGCCACGGCUAACUACGUGCCAGCAGCCGCGGUAAUACGUAGGUGGCAAGCGUUGUCCGGAAUUAUUGGGCGUAAAGCGCGCGCAGGCGGUUUCUUAAGUCUGAUGUGAAAGCCCCCGGCUCAACCGGGGAGGGUCAUUGGAAACUGGGAAACUUGAGUGCAGAAGAGGAAAGUGGAAUUCCAAGUGUAGCGGUGAAAUGCGUAGAGAUUUGGAGGAACACCAGUGGUGAAGGCGACUUUCUGGUCUGUAACUGACGCUGAGGCGCGAAAGCGUGGGGAGCAAACAGGAUUAGAUACCCUGGUAGUCCACGCUGUAAACGAUGAGUGCUAAGUGUUAGAGGGUUUCCGCCCUUUAGUGCUGAAGUUAACGCAUUAAGCACUCCGCCUGGGGAUACGGUCGCAAGACUGAAACUUAAANGAAAUUGACGG